CCCAAAAUCUAGCCCUACAACCCCCAUCUUCCCCCCCCCCCCAAUCCACACGAAAUAAAAUAUUUUAAAACCCUAGUAAAGAAGAUUGAAAAACUAAAAUGGAGCAAAAAUUACGUACCGCAAGGGAAAGAUGAAAUAAUAAUGAAAUAACCUAAAGCACAAAAUAAUAGAGACUACCUCUCGUACCUUUUGCAUCAUGGUUUAACAAGUCUAACCAAGCAAAAAGACUUUAAGUUUGGCCCCCCGAAACUAAGUGAGCUACUUUGAGGCAGCCCAACGAGCAAACCCAUCUCUGUUGCAAAAGAGUGGGAAGACCUCAAAGUAGAGGUGAUAUACCUAACGAACUUAGUGAUAGCUGGUUGCUCAACAAAAGGAUCUUAGUCCAACCUGAAACCAUAUCGGAUAAAAUAAAAUCGAAGCCUUGGAUUUUAGAGACAUUCAAAUAAGGUACAGCCUAUUUGAAACAGGAUACAACCUACACCGAUGGGUAAACUAAUUGUUACCGUAUCAAAUAAGUUGGCCUAAAAGCAGCCACCUUUUAAAAUGCGUCAAAGCCUACUUGUAUCACACAAAAUAUUCACUAAACAUUACCGAACCCUCCACCAACACUGAGCACUUCUAUCCCCCGAUAGAAAAUUUUAUGUUAAAACUAGUAACAAGGAGAAAACCCCCUCUGACAUGUAAGUGUAAACCAGAAUGGACAAACCACUGGUAAUUAACAACCACUAUUAGUAGUAACCUAACAAGAAAACCCUACUUAACCCCCUGUUAACCUAACACAAGAACAUUACAAGAAAGAUUAAAAGAAAAAGAAGGAACUCGGCAAAUUACAAUCCCGCCUGUUUACCAAAAACAUCGCCUCCUGCAACUAUAUGAGGUCCAGCCUGCCCAGUGACUUAGUUCAACGGCCGCGGUAUACUAACCGUGCGAAGGUAGCACAAUCACUUGUUCCUUAAAUAGGGACUAGUAUGAAAGGCAUCACGAGGAUUAAACUGUCUCCUUUUUCCAAUCAGUGAAACUAAUCCCCCCGUGAAAAAGCGAGGAUACUACCAUAAGACGAGAAGACCCUAUGGAGCUUCAAACACUAUAACAAAUGCUACAUCCCCACAACUUUCAGAAAACUCACGCCAUAGCAUAAUGAUUAUAAGUUUUUGGUUGGGGUGACCGUGGAGAAAAAAACAUCCUCCACAUUGACAUAAAGCCAAACUUUAAACUAAAACCCACAACUUUACGAAUCAACAAACUGACAUAAUUGACCCAAACAUUUGAUCAACGAACCAAGUUACCCUAGGGAUAACAGCGCAAUCUACUUCAAGAGUACAUAUCGACAAGUGGGCUUACGACCUCGAUGUUGGAUCAGGAUAACCUAGUGGUGCAGCCGCUACUGAGGGUUCGUUUGUUCAACGAUUAAAAUCCUACGUGAUCUGAGUUCAGACCGGAGCAAUCCAGGUCGGUUUCUAUCUAUAAAGAGCAUUUUCCAGUACGAAAGGACCGAAAAAGCACGGCCAAUGAACAAUUCAAGCCGUCAAGAAAAUUAUGCUAAACACUUAAUAAACUACAUAUCUCCCUCUAUCCUCUAAAUAAGAGUAGCUAACU
This 1596-nucleotide ribosomal RNA is filed under the name Craugastor daryi (Ford's robber frog). Its description in RNAcentral is "partial 16S ribosomal RNA". It matches the Rfam family "Bacterial large subunit ribosomal RNA", at positions 372 to 2838 of the family's 2925-position model. Lineage: Eukaryota; Metazoa; Chordata; Amphibia; Anura; Craugastoridae. The record is from RNAcentral.